RNAcentral lists this transfer RNA (214 nucleotides) under Pneumocystis jirovecii. Its description in RNAcentral is "tRNA-Pseudo(TAC)". Lineage: Eukaryota; Fungi; Ascomycota; Pneumocystomycetes; Pneumocystales; Pneumocystaceae. The record is from RNAcentral.
AAAAAUAUAUUUAAAUAAAAUUUAUUCUACAAAAAAAAUUUUAAAAUUUAUAAUUUAUUAAAUAAAAUUAUUUAUGUAAAGAUUCAGUUUAGAAGUUAAAAUACAGAAAUUAUAAAUUUAAUAAUUUGGGUUUUUAGAAUAAUAUAAAUCUUAAAGUUUUAUAAAAUAAUUUAUUUCUAUAAUAAAACAUUUAUAUUUGAAUUAUAUUUAUUUA